This 484-nucleotide ribosomal RNA is filed under the name uncultured bacterium. RNAcentral describes it as "partial 16S ribosomal RNA". It matches the Rfam family "Bacterial small subunit ribosomal RNA", at positions 30 to 507 of the family's 1533-position model. The record is from RNAcentral.
AUUGAACGCUAGCGGGAUGCUUUACACAUGCAAGUCGAACGGCAGCGCGGACUUCGGUCUGGCGGCGAGUGGCGAACGGGUGAGUAAUGUAUCGGAACGUGCCCAGUAGCGGGGGAUAACUACGCGAAAGCGUAGCUAAUACCGCAUACGCCCUACGGGGGAAAGCAGGGGAUCGUAAGACCUUGCACUAUUGGAGCGGCCGAUAUCGGAUUAGCUAGUUGGUGAGGUAACGGCUCACCAAGGCGACGAUCCGUAGCUGGUUUGAGAGGACGACCAGCCACACUGGGACUGGGACACGGCCCAGACUCCUACGGAAGGCAGCAGUGGGGAAUUUUGGACAAUGGGGGCAACCCUGAUCCAGCCAUCCCGCGUGUGCGAUGAAGGCCUUCGGGUUGUAAAGCACUUUUGGCAGGAAAGAAACGUCGCGGGCUAAUACCCCGUGGAACUGACGGUACCUGCAGAAUAAGCACCGGCUAACUACGUG